AUACGUAGGGGGCGAGCGUUGUCCGGAAUGAUUGGGCGUAAAGGGCGCGUAGGCGGCGCGGUAAGUCUGGAGUGAAAGUCCUGCUUUCAAGGUGGGAAUUGCUUUGGAUACUGCCGCGCUUGAGUGCAGGAGAGGUUAUCGGAAUUCCCGGUGUAGCGGUGAAAUGCGUAGAGAUCGGGAGGAACACCAGUGGCGAAGGCGGGUAACUGGACUGCAACUGACGCUGAGGCGCGAAAGUGUGGGGAGCAAACAGGAUUAGAUACCCUGGUAAUCCACACUGUAAACGAUGAAUGCUAGGUGUAAGAGGUAUCGACCCCUUUUGUGCCGGAGUCAACACAAUAAGCAUUCCGCCUGGGGAGUACGGCCGCAAGGUUGAAACUCAAAUGAAUGGACGGGG
RNAcentral lists this ribosomal RNA (397 nucleotides) under uncultured bacterium. Its description in RNAcentral is "partial 16S ribosomal RNA". It matches the Rfam family "Bacterial small subunit ribosomal RNA", at positions 523 to 918 of the family's 1533-position model. The record is from RNAcentral.